GUGGGGAAUAUUGCACAAUGGGCGAAAGCCUGAUGCAGCAACGCCGCGUGAAGGAUGAAGGCCUUUGGGUCGUAAACUUCUGUCCUUGGGGAAGAAAAAAAUGACGGUACCCCUGGAGGAAGUCCCGGCUAACUACGUGCCAGCAGCCGCGGUAAUACGUAGGGGGCGAGCGUUAUCCGGAAUUAUUGGGCGUAAAGAGUACGUAGGUGGUUUUUUAAGCGCAGGGUUUAAGGCGAUGUCUCAACUGUCGUUCGCCCUGUGAACUGGAAGACUUGAGUACAGGAGAGGAAAGCGGAAUUCCUAGUGUAGCGGUGAAAUGCGUAGAUAUUAGGAGGAACACCAGUGGCGAAGGCGACUUUCUGGACUGUAACUGACACUGAGGCACGAAAGCGUGGGUAGCAAACAGGAUUAGAAACCCUAGUAGUCC
RNAcentral lists this ribosomal RNA (427 nucleotides) under uncultured bacterium. RNAcentral describes it as "partial 16S ribosomal RNA". It matches the Rfam family "Bacterial small subunit ribosomal RNA", at positions 354 to 796 of the family's 1533-position model. The record is from RNAcentral.